RNAcentral lists this ribosomal RNA (252 nucleotides) under uncultured bacterium. RNAcentral describes it as "partial 16S ribosomal RNA". It matches the Rfam family "Bacterial small subunit ribosomal RNA", at positions 525 to 776 of the family's 1533-position model. The record is from RNAcentral.
ACGAAGGGGGCUAGCGUUGCUCGGAAUUACUGGGCGUAAAGGGCGCGUAGGCGGACAGUUUAGUCAGAGGUGAAAGCCCAGGGCUCAACCUUGGAAUAGCCUUUGAUACUGACUGUCUUGAGUACGGGAGAGGUGUGUGGAACUCCGAGUGUAGAGGUGAAAUUCGUAGAUAUUCGGAAGAACACCAGUGGCGAAGGCGACACACUGGCCCGUUACUGACGCUGAGGCGCGAAAGCGUGGGGAGCAAACAGG